Molecule: transfer RNA, 68 nt
Filed under: Osbornellus sp. EMHAU-2015-Zz052506
Lineage: Eukaryota; Metazoa; Arthropoda; Insecta; Hemiptera; Cicadellidae
Description: tRNA-Asp
Source: RNAcentral
AAGAAAUUAGUUUAUAAAAAAACAUUAACUUGUCAGGAUAAAAAAAUAUUUUUAAAAUAUAUUUCUUA